This 497-nucleotide ribosomal RNA is filed under the name uncultured bacterium. RNAcentral's name for it is "partial 16S ribosomal RNA". It matches the Rfam family "Bacterial small subunit ribosomal RNA", at positions 28 to 507 of the family's 1533-position model. The record is from RNAcentral.
GAUGAACGCUGGCGGCGUGCCUAAUACAUGCAAGUCGAGCGAACAGACGAGGAGCUUGCUCCUCUGACGUUAGCGGCGGACGGGUGAGAAACACGUGGAUAACCUACCUAUAAGACUGGGAUAACUUCGGGAAACCGGAGCUAAUACCGGAUAAUAUAUUGAACCGCAUGGUUCAAUAGUGAAAGACGGUUUUGCUGUCACUUAUAGAUGGAUCCGCGCCGCAUUAGCUAGUUGGUAAGGUAACGGCUUACCAAGGCAACGAUGCGUAGCCGACCUGCGAGAGUGAUAGGCCACACUGGAACUGAGACACGGUCCAGACGACUACGGGAGGCAGCAGUAGGGAAUCGUCCGCAAUGGGCGAAAGCCUGACGGAGCAACGCCGCGUGAGUGAUGAAGGUCUUCGGAUCGUAAAACUCUGUUAUUAGGGAAGAACAAAUGUGUAAGUAACUAUGCACGUCUUGACGGUACCUAAUCAGAAAGCCACGGCUAACUACGUG